CCAUAUCACAUUGAAACACAGGUUCACGUGCGAUUACCGAAGUUAAGCAAUGCCGAGCUUGGUGAGUAUUUAGAUGGAUGACCGCUUGGGAAUACCAGCUGCUGUAAG
Acanthosepion pharaonis is the source of this 108-nucleotide non-coding RNA. The record is from the annotation of a GenBank genome assembly. NCBI's taxonomy places the organism in Eukaryota, Metazoa, Mollusca, Cephalopoda, Sepiida, Sepiidae.